Long non-coding RNA from Canis lupus familiaris (dog), 1971 nucleotides. RefSeq lists it as uncharacterized. Lineage: Eukaryota; Metazoa; Chordata; Mammalia; Carnivora; Canidae. The transcript is spliced from 3 exons. The record is from RefSeq and is a predicted model, not a curated record.
AGUCUGGACAGUGGGUGGAGCUGGGCCUCUAGCUCGGGAUGGCUUCUGGCAAGUGAUCAUCGUCUCUCUGAGGUCUCUCUGGCUGGCAUUCUGUUUUCCCAGAUAUGGCUACGUGUCCGUUUCCAGCACCUGUUCCUGAGUCAGGCCUUGAAGAUUUUGCCGGCUUUACUUCCUGGGCCUCCCUUGUAUGAACUCGCCAUUCCAGAUGGGACAGUUCCUUAACAUGCUGGGUUCCUAUACCACUGAGGCUUGCUUUACUCAUGAGGAUCCACUCUCCAGAGGCCUUCUCUGCAUCACCACCAGACUGUAUGCAUGUGACGGGUUUGACUGAUCCAGGAUAAACUUGGCCAGAAGGGAGGGCUCCAGGCUGCGUUGGCUGCAGGCUGGUUCCCCGUGUGCAUCCUAGGGCUGGGCUGAGGUGCCGGUGUCUCUCCUGGCGGCUGGCUGCAAUAGCCAGGGUCAAGCCCAACUGCGUGGGCGUGUGGAAGACCUCUGUCCAAGUCAGUUUUGUUAGCGUCACCUUCACCAAGGCGAGUCACCCAGAUACACCCAACAUCAGUGAGGGGAGAAAGAAUAUUCCAUCUGCUGUCAUUCCCAGCAUUGAAGCUCUAGACUUUUCUAGCUCCUCACCCAGCAUUUGUGUCAUGUCAUGUCUCUGGGCUUUGGUCUAGAAUGUCUGUUAAUUGUAACAUCUGCACGUCAACUUUUCCAUCAGAUUGUACCUUGGAAUGCAGGGGCCUCACUUGGUCCGUUUCUAUGUCCCCAGCCUCCCAGUAUGGGACCUGACACAGAAGGAGUGCUCAGAAACUCCUUGUUAAACAAUGAGUAAAUAAUUGAAUAAAUGAAUGGCCAAUGUCUGGGCCCUUUGGGUUUGUAUAUGCUCACUUGCCUCCCUGCCUGGACCCAUUGGGAUAUAGUUCAAAGCCUUGUGUCUAGGUUCCAGUAGAUCUAAGACACACUGAAAAGGGUCAAAUACCCUUAACUCAUCAUCUGUACUUAUAGUUGCAAUUUGAGUUCAUACCAUACCUAGGACAUCAGAGAUUCCUUAGUUCAACUGCCCCCUUGGGUGCAGAAGCAAUGUCUAUUCAUCUUUGAUCUCCAGGGCCCAACACGGGACCUGUUACAGAGCGGGUGCUUGGUAAGUAUUUGUUUUUCCAUCAAUCUCUCUAACACUUCUAUAAAUAUGAAAAUGAAAGCCCAGAGAGGGAACAUGAAGUUCCUGGGUCACACAGGAAGUUUCUGGAUGUCUGGAUUCCAGCCUGGCUCCCCUGAUUCCCAGGAGGUCAGAACCCAAUGGAUAGAAUCUGGCCAAACCCACCAUCUGCAGAAGAGAAUCAUCCAUGGGCCACCAGUUGGUGAGGCUCCUCCGGUUUCUUAACACAGACCUAAGGUUAUAUGAAGUAGGACUUUACUUAUUCCAAAUUUGUCUCAGAUCAUUGACAGAUCCAACUUUAAAGCCACGAAGGCAAAAGGCAAUUGCUGUGGCUGCAGCAGAGCUGGCUUUGGAGGCUGAGAGACCUGACUUGGGGAAUUAGCAGAAGCACUUGCUGACUACAUGACCUUGCAUAAAUUCCCUGCUUGCUCUGAGCACCAGUCUCCUCCCCCUACUUCCUGCACCAAGGGGACCACAAUGCCUACCUUUCAGGGUUGUAGUAGAGACCUCUGCUAAUGUGCAUUUACCUAGAACAUAUUAAUCAUCGGUGGCCACUCACUUACAAUGACUUUGUGUUUCAGACUGUGCUUCAGAGCUGGCCCGCAAGCACCAGCCGUCACCUCUGGAGAUGGUUUGCCCUUACAAAGACUCCCAGUCUCGAUGCCCUGCCACCCUGGUAUUUUAACAUUCACAGUGCCACCGCUUGCUGUGAACAGCCACUGACCAUAAAGUUUGACAUUUUGAAGAUUAAAGUGCUUUGAAUUAGUCAUGCACAUGUGAUGUCAUUGUUCCUUCUUGUCCUGCUCUGGAAUCUAAAA